RNAcentral lists this ribosomal RNA (467 nucleotides) under uncultured bacterium. RNAcentral's name for it is "partial 16S ribosomal RNA". It matches the Rfam family "Bacterial small subunit ribosomal RNA", at positions 28 to 506 of the family's 1533-position model. The record is from RNAcentral.
GACGAACGCUGGCGGCGUGCUUAACACAUGCAAGUCGAACGGAAAGGCCCUGCUUUUGUGGGGUGCUCGAGUGGCGAACGGGUGAGUAACACGUGAGUAACCUGCCCUUGACUUUGGGAUAACUUCAGGAAACUGGGGCUAAUACCGGAUAGGAGCUCCUGCUGCAUGGUGGGGGUUGGAAAGUUUCGGCGGUUGGGGAUGGACUCGCGGCUUAUCAGCUUGUUGGUGGGGUAGUGGCUUACCAAGGCUUUGACGGGUAGCCGGCCUGAGAGGGUGACCGGGCAAAAUGGGAACGAGAUAAGGCCCAGAACACUAAGGGAGGGAGGAGUGGGGAAUAUUGCACAAUGGGCGGAAGCCUGAUGCAGCAACGCCGCGUGCGGGAUGACGGCCUUCGGGUUGUAAACCGCAUUCGCCUGUGACGAAGCGUGAGUGACGGUAAUGGGUAAAGAAGCACCGGCUAACUACGU